GAGUUUGAUCUUGGCUCAGAUUGAACGCUGGCGGCAUGCCUUACACAUGCAAGUCGAACGGCAGCACGGGAGCUUGCUCCUGGUGGCGAGUGGCGAACGGGUGAGUAAUGCAUCGGAACGUAUCCUGGAGUGGGGGAUAACGUAGCGAAAGUUACGCUAAUACCGCAUAUUCUGUGAGCAGGAAAGCGGGGGACCUUCGGGCCUCGCGCUCUUGGAGCGGCCGAUGUCGGAUUAGCUAGUUGGUGAGGUAAAGGCUCACCAAGGCGACGAUCCGUAGCAGGUCUGAGAGGAUGAUCUGCCACACUGGAACUGAGACACGGUCCAGACUCCUACGGGAGGCAGCAGUGGGAAUUUUGGACAAUGGGGGCAACCCUGAUCCAGCCAUGCCGCGUGAGUGAAGAAGGCCUCGGUUGUAA
Molecule: ribosomal RNA, 416 nt
Filed under: bacterium enrichment culture clone ALO1_GLFRUDD03F0KSY
Lineage: Bacteria
Also listed under: 1 other name
Description: bacterial SSU rRNA
Rfam family: Bacterial small subunit ribosomal RNA
Source: RNAcentral